GAUGAACGCUGGCGGCGUGCCUAAUACAUGCAAGUCGAGCGAACGGACGAGAAGCUUGCUUUUCUGAUGUUAGCGGCGGACGGGUGAGUAACACGUGGAUAACCUACCUAUAAGACUGGGAUAACUUCGGGAAACCGGAGCUAAUACCGGAUAAUAUUUUGAGCCGCAUGGUUCAAAAGUGAAAGACGGUCUUGCUGACACUUAUAGAUGGAUCCGCGCUGCAUUAGCUAGUUGGUAAGGUAACGGCUUACCAAGGCAACGAUGCAUAGCCGACCUGAGAGGGUGAUCGGCCACACUGGAACUGAGACACGGUCCAGACUCCUACGGGAGGCAGCAGUAGGGAAUCUUCCGCAAUGGGCGAAAGCCUGACGGAGCAACGCCGCGUGAGUGAUGAAGGUCUUCGGAUCGUAAAACUCUGUUAUUAGGGAAGAACAUAUGUGUAAGUAACUGUGCACAUCUUGACGGUACCUAAUCAGAAAGCCACGGCUAACUACGUG
This 497-nucleotide ribosomal RNA is filed under the name uncultured bacterium. RNAcentral describes it as "partial 16S ribosomal RNA". It matches the Rfam family "Bacterial small subunit ribosomal RNA", at positions 28 to 507 of the family's 1533-position model. The record is from RNAcentral.